This 446-nucleotide ribosomal RNA is filed under the name uncultured bacterium. RNAcentral's name for it is "bacterial SSU rRNA". It matches the Rfam family "Bacterial small subunit ribosomal RNA", at positions 28 to 476 of the family's 1533-position model. The record is from RNAcentral.
GAUGAACGCUAGCGGCAGGCUUAACACAUGCAAGUCGAGGGGUAGAAGGAGCUUGCUCCUUUGAGACCGGCGCACGGGUGCGUAACGCGUAUGCAAUCUACCUUUUGCAGAGGGAUAGCCCAGAGAAAUUUGGAUUAAUACCUCAUAGUAUGUGAGGAUGGCAUCAUUUUCACAUUAAAGUCACAACGGCAAAAGAUGAGCAUGCGUCCCAUUAGCUAGUUGGUAAGGUAACGGCUUACCAAGGCUACGAUGGGUAGGGUCCUGAGAGGGAGAUCCCCCACACUGGUACUGAGACACGGACCAGACUCCUACGGGAGGCAGCAGUGAGGAAUAUUGGACAAUGGGCGCAAGCCUGAUCCAGCCAUGCCGCGUGCAGGAUGACGGUCUAUGGAUUGUAAACUGCAUUUGUACAGGANAAACACUACUUCGUGAAGUAGCUUGACGGU